RNAcentral lists this ribosomal RNA (550 nucleotides) under uncultured bacterium. RNAcentral describes it as "bacterial SSU rRNA". It matches the Rfam family "Bacterial small subunit ribosomal RNA", at positions 355 to 896 of the family's 1533-position model. The record is from RNAcentral.
UAGGGAAUCUUCCGCAAUGGGCGAAAGCCUGACGGAGCAACGCCGCGUGAGUGAUGAAGGUCUUCGGAUCGUAAAACUCUGUUAUUAGGGAAGAACAUAUGUGUAAGUAACUGUGCACAUCCUGACGGUACCUAAUCAGAAAGCCACGGCUAACUACGUGCCAGCAGCCGCGGUAAUACGUAGGUGGCAAGCGUUAUCCGGAAUUAUUGGGCGUAAAGCGCGCGUAGGCAGUUUUUUAAGUCUGAUGUGAAAGCCCACGGCUCAACCGUGGAGGGUCAUUGGAAACUGGAAAACUUGAGUGCAGAAGAGGAAAGUGGAAUUCCAUGUGUAGCGGUGAAAUGCGCAGAGAUAUGGAGGAACACCAGUGGCGAAGGCGACUUUCUGGUCUGUAACUGACGCUGAUGUGCGAGAGCGUGGGGAUCAAACAGGAUUAGAUACCCUGGUAGUCCACGCCGUAAACGAUGAGUGCUAAGUGUUAGGGGGUUUCCGCCCCUUAGUGCUGCAGCUAACGCAUUAAGCACUCCGCCUGGGGAGUACGACCGCAAGGUUG